CAGAUGGCGGAAUUGGUAGACGCGCUGGACUCAAAAUCCUGUGGCAGCAAUGCCGUGCGGGUUCGAUUCCCGCUCCGG
This 78-nucleotide transfer RNA is filed under the name bovine gut metagenome. It matches the Rfam family "tRNA", at positions 6 to 65 of the family's 71-position model. From Rfam's summary of the family: Transfer RNA (tRNA) molecules are approximately 80 nucleotides in length. The record is from RNAcentral.